CAAUGGGGAAUUUUGGCAAUGGGGGAAACCCUGAUCCAGCCAUCCCGCGUGUAUGAUGAAGGCCUUCGGGUUGUAAAGUACUUUUGGCAGAGAAGAAAAGGUAUCUCCUAAUACGAGAUACUGCUGACGGUAUCUGCAGAAUAAGCACCGGCUAACUACGUGCCAGCAGCCGCGGUAAUACGUAGGGUGCAAGCGUUAAUCGGAAUUACUGGGCGUAAAGCGUGUGUAGGCGGUUCGGAAAGAAAGANGUGAAAUCCCAGGGCUCAACCUUGGAACUGCAUUUUUAACUGCCGAGCUAGAGUAUGUCAGAGGGGGGUAGAAUUCCACGUGUAGCAGUGAAAUGCGUAGAUAUGUGGAGGAAUACCGAUGGCGAAGGCAGCCCCCUGGGAUAAUACUGACGCUCANACACGAAAGCGUGGGGAGCAACAGGAUAGAUACCCUGGUAGUCCCNCCCUAACGAUGUCAACUAGCUGUGGGGCCGUAGGCCUUAGUAGCCCACCUAACCCGUGAAUUGACCGCCUGGGGAGUACGGUCGCAAGAUUAAAACUCAAAGGAAUUGACGGGGACCCGCACAAGCGGUGGAUGAUGUGGAUUAAUUCGAUGCAACGCGAAAAACCUUACCUACCCUUGACAUGUCUGGAAUGCCGAAGAGAUUUGGCAGUGCUCGCAAGAGAACCGGAACACAGGUGCUGCAUGGCUGUCGUCAGCUCGUGUCGUGAGAUGUUGGGUUAAGUCCCGCAACGAGCGCAACCCUUGUCAUUAGUUGCUACGCAAGAGCACUCUAAUGAGACUGCCGGUGACAAACCGGAGGAAGGUGGGGAUGACGUCAAGUCCUCAUGGCCCUUAUGGGUAGGGCUUCACACGUCAUACAAUGGUCGGGACAGAGGGUCGCCAACCCGCGAGGGGGAGCCAAUCUCAGAAACCCGAUCGUAGUCCGGAUCGCAGUCUGCAACUCGACUGCGUGAAGUCGGAAUCGCUAGUAAUCGCGGAUCAGAAU
RNAcentral lists this ribosomal RNA (997 nucleotides) under Alcaligenes faecalis. RNAcentral describes it as "bacterial SSU rRNA". It matches the Rfam family "Bacterial small subunit ribosomal RNA", at positions 352 to 1355 of the family's 1533-position model. The record is from RNAcentral. Lineage: Bacteria; Pseudomonadati; Pseudomonadota; Betaproteobacteria; Burkholderiales; Alcaligenaceae.